RNAcentral lists this ribosomal RNA (253 nucleotides) under uncultured bacterium. RNAcentral's name for it is "partial 16S ribosomal RNA". It matches the Rfam family "Bacterial small subunit ribosomal RNA", at positions 524 to 776 of the family's 1533-position model. The record is from RNAcentral.
UACGUAGGUGGCAAGCGUUGUCCGGAUUUAUUGGGUUUAAAGGGUGCGUAGGCGGUCCUAUAAGUCAGUGCUGAAAUAUCCCGGCUUAACCGGGAGGGUGGCAUUGAUACUGCAGGACUUGAGUAAAGUUGAGGUUGGCGGAAUUGACGGUGUAGCGGUGAAAUGCUUAGAUAUCGUCAAGAACACCUAUUGCGAAGGCAGCUAUCUGAGCUUUAACUGACGCUGAGGCACGAAAGCGUGGGGAUCGAACAGG